This 152-nucleotide ribosomal RNA is filed under the name Holostichides heterotypicus. Its description in RNAcentral is "5.8S ribosomal RNA". It matches the Rfam family "5.8S ribosomal RNA". Rfam says of the family: 5.8S ribosomal RNA (5.8S rRNA) is a component of the large subunit of the eukaryotic ribosome. It is transcribed by RNA polymerase I as part of the 45S precursor that also contains 18S and 28S rRNA. RNAcentral also lists the same sequence under 1 other name. Lineage: Eukaryota; Ciliophora; Spirotrichea; Urostylida; Urostylidae. The record is from RNAcentral.
UCCAAAUUCUCAACGAUGGAUAUCUUGGUUCCCAUAACGAUGAAGAACGCAGCGAAGUGCGAUAAGCAAUGCGAAUUGCAGAACCGUGAGUCAUCAGAUUUUUGAACGCAACUGGCGCCGAUUGGCUAUCCAGUCGGCAUGCUUGUUUCAGU